UGGAUAGAUUAUUGUAUUCGACUGUAUUCACGCCGUGAAAUAGGGGAUUACACUGUUUUUAAAACGGAAAGUGAAUCAAUUAACAUAAUAGACUCCU
Non-coding RNA from Nicotiana sylvestris (wood tobacco), 97 nucleotides. NCBI's taxonomy places the organism in Eukaryota, Viridiplantae, Streptophyta, Magnoliopsida, Solanales, Solanaceae. The record is from Rfam.